This 360-nucleotide ribosomal RNA is filed under the name Ehrlichia canis. RNAcentral describes it as "bacterial SSU rRNA". It matches the Rfam family "Bacterial small subunit ribosomal RNA", at positions 67 to 439 of the family's 1533-position model. Lineage: Bacteria; Pseudomonadati; Pseudomonadota; Alphaproteobacteria; Rickettsiales; Anaplasmataceae. The record is from RNAcentral.
UUAUUUAUAGCCUCUGGCUAUAGGAAAUUGUUAGUGGCAGACGGGUGAGUAAUGCGUAGGAAUCUACCUAGUAGUACGGAAUAGCCAUUAGAAAUGGUGGGUAAUACUGUAUAAUCCCCGAGGGGGAAAGAUUUAUCGCUAUUAGAUGAGCCUACGUUAGAUUAGCUAGUUGGUGAGGUAAUGGCUUACCAAGGCUAUGAUCUAUAGCUGGUCUGAGAGGACGAUCAGCCACACUGGAACUGAGAUACGGUCCAGACUCCUACGGGAGGCAGCAGUGGGGAAUAUUGGACAAUGGGCGAAAGCCUGAUCCAGCUAUGCCGCGUGAGUGAAGAAGGCCUUCGGGUUGUAAAACUCUUUCAA